Molecule: ribosomal RNA, 465 nt
Filed under: uncultured bacterium
Lineage: Bacteria
Description: partial 16S ribosomal RNA
Rfam family: Bacterial small subunit ribosomal RNA
Source: RNAcentral
CCUACGGGAGGCAGCAGUGGGGAAUAUUGCGCAAUGGGCGAAAGCCUGACGCAGCGACGCCGCGUGAGGGAUGAAGGUCUUCGGAUCGUAAACCUCUGUCAGCAGGGAAGAACGGUCACUGUGCUAAUCAGCAGUGAAUUGACGGUACCUGCAAAGGAAGCACCGGCUAACUCCGUGCCAGCAGCCGCGGUAAUACGGAGGGUGCGAGCGUUAAUCGGAAUUACUGGGCGUAAAGCGCUCGUAGGCGGUAUGUCAAGUCAAGGGUGAAAUCCCCGGGCUCAACGUGGGAACUGCCUUUGAAACUGGCAAACUGGAGUGUGUGAGAGGAUAGUGGAAUGCCAGGUGUAGGAGUGAAAUGCGUAGAGAUCUGGAGGAACAUCAGUGGCGAAGGCGACUAUCUGGCACAUAACUGACGCUGAGGAGCGAAAGCGUGGGUAGCAAACAGGAUUAGAUACCCUAGUAGUC